UAAAGUAUCUUUAAAAGAAGAGAUGGUUU
RNAcentral lists this small RNA (29 nucleotides) under Bombyx mori (domestic silkworm). Its description in RNAcentral is "ovarian small RNA-18393". The record is from RNAcentral. Lineage: Eukaryota; Metazoa; Arthropoda; Insecta; Lepidoptera; Bombycidae.